RNAcentral lists this transfer RNA (72 nucleotides) under Bos taurus (domestic cattle). It matches the Rfam family "tRNA". Rfam says of the family: Transfer RNA (tRNA) molecules are approximately 80 nucleotides in length. Their secondary structure includes four short double-helical elements and three loops (D, anti-codon, and T loops). Further hydrogen bonds mediate the characteristic L-shaped molecular structure. tRNAs have two regions of fundamental functional importance: the anti-codon, which is responsible for specific mRNA codon recognition, and the 3' end, to which the tRNAs corresponding amino acid is attached (by aminoacyl-tRNA synthetases). tRNAs cope with the degeneracy of the genetic code in two manners: having more than one tRNA (with a specific anti-codon) for a particular amino acid; and 'wobble' base-pairing, i.e. permitting non-standard base-pairing at the 3rd anti-codon position. RNAcentral also lists the same sequence under 2 other names. Lineage: Eukaryota; Metazoa; Chordata; Mammalia; Artiodactyla; Bovidae. The record is from Rfam by way of RNAcentral.
UCCCUGGUGGCUCAGAUGGUAAAGCGUCUGCCUACAAUGCAGGAGACCCGAGUUCAAUCCCUGGGUUGGGAA